RNAcentral lists this ribosomal RNA (242 nucleotides) under uncultured bacterium. RNAcentral's name for it is "partial 16S ribosomal RNA". It matches the Rfam family "Bacterial small subunit ribosomal RNA", at positions 63 to 334 of the family's 1533-position model. The record is from RNAcentral.
CGAGCGCACCCUUCGGGGCGAGCGGCGACGGGUUAGUAACGCGUGGGAAUGUACCCUUCUCUAUGGAAUAGCCUCGGGAAACUGAGAGUAAUACCAUAUACGCCCUUCGGGGGAAAGAUUUAUCGGAGAAGGAUCAGCCCGCGUAAGAUUAGAUAGUUGGUGGGGUAAUGGCCUACCAAGUCUACGAUCUUUAGCUGGUUUUAGAGGAUGAUCAGCAACACUGGGACUGAGACACGGCCCAG